GACGAACGCUGGCGGCGUGCUUAACACAUGCAAGUCGAGCGGUAAGGCCCUUUCGGGGGUACACGAGCGGCGAACGGGUGAGUAACACGUGGGUGACCUGCCCUCAGCUCUGGGAUAAGCCUGGGAAACCGGGUCUAAUACCGGAUAUGACUCCAUGACGCAUGUUGUGGGGUGGAAAGCCUUGUGCGGCUGAGGAUGGGCCCGCGGCCUAUCAGCUUGUUGGUGGGGUGANGGCCUACCAAGGCGACGACGGGUAGCCGGCCUGAGAGGGCGACCGGCCGCACUGGGACUGAGACACGGCCCAGACUCCUACGGGAGGCAGCAGUGGGGAAUCUUGCGCAAUGGGCGAAAGCCUGACGCAGCGACGCCGCGUGA
This 375-nucleotide ribosomal RNA is filed under the name uncultured bacterium. RNAcentral describes it as "bacterial SSU rRNA". It matches the Rfam family "Bacterial small subunit ribosomal RNA", at positions 28 to 404 of the family's 1533-position model. The record is from RNAcentral.